GCCUGCUUAGUGAGAUGGAGAACCUGUGCCUCUCCAGGUGCUGUUAGACUCGGCUGGAAAACUCUAUUCCAAAAUGUAGAGAAGUCUGGAUUUCACAGAAUAGGUAUGUUGCCGUGACAACCCCCCCCCCCCCCGAGCAAGGCCUGAGCCAAAAAGGGGAACAAACUGGACAAGACAAUGUUCUGGAAUUUAAACACUGACCACAACCUUUAUUGAUUCCAGAUGUAAGUUGGACUUGGCUUAGGCACUGGGUGUAUAUCCCUCACAGCCGCCCUGAUGGAGGGCUGUGGUGUGACAGGGUGAAGCCCAGGAUUAAUGGGUCAUUCACAAGUCACAGGUCUACCCGAAUGACCCUCCCAAGCAGCUGAAGGAAGCUAUAUGGCCCAUCUGCCACACACCUUGUCUUUUAGAAAGAGGCUUCCUACUAACCCUCUAACAAGGUACCCUGUCAUCGCAUGGUUCUGGGGUGGGGGUGAUGCACCACUUCAUCCCCUGCAUGUUGUUAGACUGGAAGGAUUCCAACGUCUUAUCUGCCAGAGUUGUGACUAUUGCAUGGGGAAAGCAAAACCUCCAAAUGGGGCCAAUCUGUUUGGAGGAAAAAUUCCUUCCCGGCUCUGAAAAUGGCAACCAUUAUUGAACCACAGAAAAGCCCAUGAAUGCAGCGCCCUAAAAGGGAAAAGGUUAGCCUACAUAAUCCCACUGUGUCAUUGAAUGGGGGUAUAGGGAGGGUUGUUCUUUGGCUGACAGCACUCCAUGGGGUCGGCUGCAGCCAGCCUUUAUUGGGUCCCACGCCCCUCCCACCUGGGCCAGCCGGAUUGGCCAGGAUUCAAGUAAGUCGAUGGCGGGGAAUUUCCCACAACUGGCCACCUCACCCUGGCAAUGCUUCCAAGGAGGAGGAGCCCAGCACAACAGGUUGCAACAGCCAGCCACCCUGUGACCAGGUAAGCAGCCAUUUCUGUUUGCACAUUGUAUCAGAAAAUGCAAAUCCUGUAGAUUCACCUUUAAAUGUGAACCAAAUCAAAUUUCUCCCUCAUCCCUAAAUGUAAGUUGGACAGUGGGGCUUUGGCACCAUACAAGACAAGACAACCAUGUUGCUCAACUUUCUUUUGGGGCAGGGGUGUCAAGGGGUUCACUGAAUAUGUUUCCAGGAACAUUGGGAAGUACGCUCAGAAUCUUUCCUUUUAAGGAAGCUUUUGGUUUCUAAAUGGUUGUCUUUUCUGCACAAUAAAAUCACUGGAUUUACAAUGAAGGUUGAAUAAGGAGAGUAGGGAGAGAUGUACGCUAUUUAGCAGAGCUAUGGAGUCUACAUAAGAAAGUCUGAAAAGGGCAGGAUCGAAGCCUCAGGCCAAAUCUAAGUGAGCGGUUGCAACUUGUGAUGCCUCGUUUUCUAGACCCCUCUUUGGCCUUUCCAUUCCUGUCAAAGAUUGUCUAGGUAAGAAGGAGUCUGAUCUCUCUCAUUCUGCCGUUUCCCAUCCUUGCCUUUGUGUAUUUAUAUUUGUCAUCAACCUUUCUAUCCUGUUUUUCCUUUAACAAAAAUCCAGCAAAUCCAAUCAAAGUGUUUCAGUCAUCUUCAAACAGAGAACAUUUACUGCAGUUGAUAUCAGCUCAUGUCAAAGAAAAUUAAAAUCUGCUGAUUAGCUGGGGGAAAAGUGAAACAGAACACAUAGAAGAUAUUUUAGUUUUUCUUUAGAAUUUGUAAUCUUUUACAGCAAAUGGAGAAAGGAAACCAAAUUUCACAGUGACCCGAUACACAAUUAGAUCUUCAGCAGCAAAUGUAUCCAGGUUACUGAACAUCUGCAGAGUAGAAGGAGGACAGUUUGAGCGAGUAAAACAGGGGUUAUGGAGGGUUUUUAAAAAUCACAACUGCGUCUACUCACUUUAUCUUUUUUUUCUGUGUUCAACAUAAAACACACACAUAAGAAAAACACCAGCUAAAUCAUUAAAACAGACUAAAAAUUGCACAAUUCAAUCAGUUAAAUAAAUUGAUAUCUCUCUCUCUCUCUCUAUAUAUAUAUAUAAGUGUGUAUGUGUGUGUUUGUGUAGCCUGUGUUGGUGCCAGGUGAAACUAUUUGGCAAAGGAUUUGAUGAUCCUGCACCCCAAUCCCAUUUUGCUUUUCUUGUUUUUUGUGUCAAGUUAGGAGAGGAGUGCAAGAAGGAAACGAUUUAAGCACGCAUGCAUGUCCAUGCACAUACCACCUGUCAUUCCUUUUCUAAACAGAGCGAAAGCGGCAGUCCAGGACCAUGCUUGCUGCUAAAUGGCUAAUCCCACUCUCAAAAGUCUUACAAGACAGGAAAUAACAAUCUAAAAAGUCAUGUAUUACCAGUCAACCAAGUGCUACCUGUUUGUCUGGCAUGCAUUAAGCAACUACAGUUUGAAGACUAUGUCUUUCCUUGAACUGCACAAACCUCUGCCUAAAUUUAUUAUGCAUAUAUUGCAUUAAUAGUGUAUAGUAAAUGUUAAAAUAAAUACUAGAGGUCUGAGUCAGCAAUUAGUGUUAGCCAGAGACACAGAAGGGAAUGAAGAAUCAAGCUGUUCCAGCACAAGUCCUUAGACAUGGCAAGAAUUUCAAUGAGAGCAUUGAAAAUAAUGUAUGAAGCAUCACCAACCAGCUACUAACUUUAAAAAAACCUUUCAAAUACAUUAUCUCAGUAAUCAUAAUACUUCUGCCCACUGGAUCCCCACUGGAAAGGGGAAAGGAAGCUGAGGCUAAGAAAGCAGUUUGCAUAAGAAGGUGCAGCAAGUUUGUAUUUGAUGAAAGAUUUGAACCAGGAACUUUGUUCCUCCUGCUUUGCUGCUGGGCUGCACCAGCUGGCAUCCUUAAAUUGCUCUACUUUUGACAAUCAGGUUCUGCCAGGAAAAAUAAAAUGUAAGAGCCUGACAUCUAUCUCAUAAUCUAGAAAUGGAGACCCUGUGGCUCCCCGGAUGCUGCUGUGGCUAAUGGUCAGAGGUGGUGGGACUUGUAAUUCAACAACAUCAGGUGGGAAGUGAGACUUUGCACUGGCCAUCAGGCAAUGGCUUUUCCCACUUGUCUUGCCCCCCUCCAGCCCCAGGAACCUUCAGAAAGGAGUUGCUGCCACUGGCAUUAUGAUGUCUUUGAUGAACUGAAGAGAGUGGGAAAUUAUGAGUCAUGCAGGUGGGGAGACUGUGUAUAAAUUCACCAGUACUUAUAGAUUAUUUUUUAUUGCUAUUUUGUUGAUGUUGUUAAUAUUGUUUUAUAGAUUAUGAAUCCUGUAAAAUGAUUUAUUCUUUUGUAAUUGUGCUGUUUAUCUUAUUUUUGUGAUUGUUUUGUUAAUAGUGGUUUAUAGAAUUUAAUUGUUUCACUGAUAAUCUGUAAUUGUUUUACUGAUGAUUUGUUAUUUAUUCUAUAUGCUUAAAGUUGUAAUUGUGAUGUUCUGUUAUGUUAUUGUUAUUUAUUGUAUGGAAACCGCUUUGUGUUUUUGGGAAUGAAAAGCAGCAUAGAAAUAUAUCAUAUCAUCUUGAGCUUUCUUGAAAGAUCUCUAAGAACCCAACUAGAGAUAUUUCCAAGACCUGCUGUCAGAGGUCCUAUCUUGGAGAUGCUUUACCUACUGAGCCAUGAACCAAACUUUUAAACUGCAGGACCAGGCAUUGGACUCCCCAUACCCCAACCCAUAUAAAUAAGAGACCAAUAUGACUGGUUUUGGGUCAAAACAGGCCACAACUUUAUUGAAUACAGAUGGAAGAGGUUUGGCUUGGGCAUGGGGCAAUCUAAAUACUUCCAGCCCGCGCACCGGAAGUGACGCGGGGUCAGUCUAGGAUGACCCCCGCAGGUACCACCAUCUGGGGGAGUGCCUUCGGCCCUGGCCCCCCUGGGCAUGCAGACAUGACCAUUCCCCCUGGAUCCCUUUAACGGGAUACCCCAGCAUUUGGAGGGACAGGCGGAGACUGCAACCUCCCCUCCAUCCAAAACAAAGGAUUGCCCCAAUGCCCAAACAGUUGUGACAAUUGCUAUGAGAUAGGCAGAACCACUGGGUCAGAGCCAAUUAGCCUGGUGGGCAAAUUCCUAUCUGGCCCCAUAAAGAAUGGUGACCACCGGAGCCAUAGCAAAGUCAUUGACUAUCAGAGUAAACCAUGUGUGGGUGAGUGGGGAAACCCGGUGCAGGAACAAACAGGCUGCGCCCCAGGUGCUGGCUGCUUAAAUGGGCAAGGGGCAUUGCAAGGGAAUUCCUCCAUCGGCUCCACCCCUGGCACAGCCCAAGUCCCAGCCUGCAGCCCCGUUUGCCAAAGCAGGGUGCAGGCUAGGAUCCAGUUCCUGAUAGGCGGAGGGGGGUCAUGCCUAUCAGGAAGGGCACUGCAGUUUGAAUUCCCUCGCCGGGGCCCCAGUGAAGCCUCAUCCAUCCCGCAAUGCCGCCUCACCCAAAAAGGGCUGAGUGGACUUCUCAUAGCAAACGUUUUCAGCUUCUGCCUUCCUCAGUUGCUCUGAUAAAAGUGGUGCUGUUUCUAAGGUGAGAGUUAUAGACCUUUGAAGAUGGAUUGCUCAAAGUACCUUCAUUCACAGAAGCUAAGUGAUAAUAGUACUGUCCUCUAGGUUGAGACCAUGAGGACUUAGUGUAUCUAGUGUGUCCAUCCAUAAGUUAUCCCUUUCUGCUAAUAUAAUAUUGUUGGAAGAUAGAUUGAUAGAUAGAUAGAUAGAUAGUUUAUUAUGUUAUAUAUAUAUAUAUAUAUAUAUAUAUAUAUAUAUAUAUAUAUAUAUAGUGUGUGUGUGUGUGUUUGUAUAUACACCAAACACACACCUUUCAUAGUAAUGUCAUAGUACAGUACAUUUAAAGAGAGAGAGAAAAGAAGACUACAAAGUCCUUUUCUCAGGUAAAUAUUAACUUGUCCAACACAGAGAGAGGUGAACCCUCCCAUCUCUCACCUGGGAGCUUCCUUUCUUCUCCCACCCUCCCACCCUGGGAGAUCUUCCCUUCCCUGCCUGUCGUCAUGCAGAGUCCUUCAUCAAAUAAUAUUGUUGGAUCUGUUGGCAUCUCUAUAACAACUAUUUAUAAAUCCAGCAGGCUGUGGUUCUCAAAACAGUUUGUGAUUUUGACAAAAAGUGAAGCAGUCAAAACAAGUUUACCAAUCUGUUGCUAAACUUCUUUUGGUUGCUCCACUUUGUCAAAAUCACCAAUUUGUUUUUUCCUCAACAUGGGCAUAGGUCAGCUGUAAUUUUACAAAUGGAUAAAAUAUCCUUCUGGAUAUUUGCAUUCAGUGAUAUGGACCAGCAGGUCCUGUUUGAUGUACAGUGGUACCUCGGGUUACAUACGCUUCAGGUUACAGACUCCGCUAACCCAGAAAUAGUGCUUCAGGUUAAGAACUUUGCUUCAGGAUAAGAACAGAAAUCGUGCUCCAGCAGCGCGGCAGCAGCAGGAGGCCCCAUUAGCUAAAGUGGUGCUUCAGGUUAAGAACAGUUUCAGGUUAAGAACAGACCUCCGGAACGAAUUAAGUUCUUAACCUGAGGUACCACUGUAUCCUGUUGUUGCGGGUCCAAGCAUUGUGCUCCCCGGUCCCCAACCCACAGUGAAAUAAAGGAGUGGUUUGGAUCAUAGACUGGUUUGGAUCAAAACAGGCCACAACUUUCUUGAAUAUAGAUGGAAGAGGUUUGCUAAUCUGGGAUGCAGACUAGGAUCCAUCUUCUGGAUGCAGUUCCCUCAUUGGGGCCAUGGAAAAGCCUCUGCCGUCCGGCAACACUGCUGCACCACAAAGCGGACUUGUUAAAGGCACCCUCAUAUAUUUAUUGAGGAUAAAUAUUCCAAUGAAUUCACCAAUAUUUUCAGCCUCAUCUUUCAGCGAUCAGCAGCUUUGGGGGUGGAUAAUUUUGAGCAGAGAAGUGAUGGAUGAAAGAGAACCUUAACCCCUUUCCUGUCAACCACAUCUUCUCCAAAGUGGCUCAUGCCAAAGCAGGUUUUCCCUCGGAAAGAAAGCCCUCAGGCUUUUCUUAUGUUCAUAUUUAUGUAUUGCGCAAUUCUCAGCCCUACUGGAAAUCUUGGGACAUGCAUGUUUGAAAACAUCUUUGGAUUGCCAUCUUCACUACUUCAUUGCAGAUAAAAAUUCUCUUUUCUGCUUCUAAGUCUGAAGCCAACUAAAGUAAAUAUUUCACAUGCAGCUACUCUCUGAAGUGGCAUCAUUUUUCAGCCAUUUCAUCAUUAAAGGCUGAAGGGAAAAUCUGAGAGGAGAGAGAUGAACCUGACAGAUAAAGAUUGCACUGAACUGCCAAAUUACAGCAACAAGCAAAACUCAAAAGUGGUGGACUGGCAGUCAAGGCUUAUUCCUUUAUUUGCUGAAUAGAUUCCAUACAUUCCAGUGCAAAAGUAUUUAAGCUUUAUAUCUCUUUCAACCCUUCAAAAAGGAUCCUCAGUGCAUUUAUUUCAAUUAUAAUUGAGAAUGGAAAGCUAUAAUUUACACCUAUUAUUUGCUUCAUUGCAAUUUGAGGGUUGAAAACCUCAAAGCUUCCAAGGUUACCUGGAGCUUGUGCCAGAUUUUAGUCCAAGUGUCAGAAAGGUAAAUACAAGCAAGCAGUCACUUACCACCAUGCAGGUUAAACCACUUGGAAAAAUAAUAAUCUGUACCAUUCUGACAAUAACUUGACUGCUCUUCUACAUUUAGAAGCUUGUUCAGGACAACAGUAGUAUUUUACAUAGAAGGAGUUCUGCAGCAUCUUAAAAACUAAUAAGUUUAUUGUAAUAUAACCUUUUGCGCACAAAAGUCCACAUUGUCAUAUAUGCAUGUAGUUUACUCUCAGAUGGCAGGUGUGUGUGGACACCCACCCACAACAAUACAGAGAGGGAAAGAAGAUUGUAAACAAUGAAGCCAAAAGGCCAUGAAAUGUAUGGAAUAACCAUAGGCAGGUCACAUGCCAAUGCAAAGAUGAAAUAUAUAGGAUGAAAUCUGGGUCACCCACAAACAAGCUUCCAAAUAUCUAAGCCCAAAAGCAAAAUAUUAUAUUUGACACUUCAGUCAAGCAAACAGCAUGCAAGUGUCAGCACACAGAACUAUGUGAAGAUUCAGCCAACUGAAGAAUCCCUUGUAUUGUCAAAAAUGUGUUUUUAUGUAAAAUAUUACCUGCUGAUUUGAGAAAGCUGACUUAAUUCAGCCUUUUUUUUUAAAUCCAAACCAACCACAGAACUAUCACUGUAGGAAAACCCCCACCAAGAAUUCAAAUGGCAUUUACUAUGGCUUGGAGUCUGACUAGGGCUCUGCAAACAGACAGGGUCCUUCCAUUAAUGACUAGAACCAAGAUGCAGUGGGAAAUUGUACCAAAAGUAGGGGGGUGCCCUUCCCCUUGCAGCUGCCAGCACUGCAUCUCAUUCAUCUUCGGGAGAGUCCCCAAUCCUCCAGAGCACUUCUAAUGCCCUUGUAGAGCCCAGUUAGCAAGCUGAGACCUCAAGGCCACUUGACCACUGCUCUUGAAUGGACAGCUAAAAGCAAAAGAGAUAUGCAUAUAUUUCCAGUACACUCCCCCCUCCCCCCAAAAGGGACAAUGACACAGAUACAUUGUGGUUGUGACUGUGAUAAUGUGUAGCAGAGGAUGUGAGCAUAGGUGCAGGCUGUGCUUUGCUGACCUGAAAGUCUUGAGAUCUGCCUUAGGUCAUGAUAUUUACCUGGGCCCCACGUUUUGGCACCUAGAUAUCACUGGGAAUGGCCAUAAGUGUUAUGCUAGGUAGUUGGGGUUCAGUUAAUGAAAAGGAUUAUGUUACAGUGUUGGGGUUAGCCAAACUAAAUUGCUUUGUACUAAUAUCACUGGGGGCAACCUUCAAGAAUUACUUUCCUUGCUCUGUGGGCAAACAUGAACACUUCCUCUAGUUUUAGUUCAUAAGCUAAGCUCUACCUUAAGUUUCCUCUAGAUUCCAGAAAUCUUUUGAGUAACAUGAACUUUUGAGUUCAAAUAUAUAAAAGGAUGUCACAUAGAGGAGGGAGAAAGGUUGUUUUCUGCUGCUCCAGAGAAGCGGACACGGAGCAAUGGAUCCAAACUACAAGAAAGAAGAUUCCACCUAAACAUUAGGAAGAACUUCCUGACAGUAAGAGCUGUUCGACAGUGGAAUUUGCUGCCAAGGAGUGUGGUGGAGUCUCCUUCUUUGGAGGUCUUUAAGCAGAGGCUUGACAACCAUAUGUCAGGAGUGCUCUGAUGGUGUUUCCUGCUUGGCAGGGGGUUGGACUCGAUGGCCCUUGUGGUCUCUUCCAACUCUAUGAUUCUAUGAUUCUAUGAUUCUAUGAACAUUCCUCUUCAACUAGGCCUUGGGCUGAUUAAUAUUCUGCAGCCUUUUAAAUGUAUCUGUGAGAAGGGCGAGGUUAUUUUGUUGUUGUUUUGUUUUAAUCAUUUACUUCUUUUGAGCCUGUAUUUUAUUCUGUGAACUGCCCUGAGAUCUAUUGAUGAAAGGUGGUAGGUAAGGAAAGAAAAAAAUAAAUGGUGACAAGGGGGAAGGGGACAAUCAGUGAAAGCUAUCUCUCUCCUUUCCACUGAUACGAGCACCAUGUGAUCAGAACUCUACUCCGCAGAUACUCCUGCUCAUGGAGCUGACUCAAGCUUAUUUCUAUGGAACACCAAUGAAGAGAAAUAACAUGUUAGGGGAGAUAAAAAAAGAAACCCUGAAUUAUAUAGGCCAGCGGUUCCAAACUGGUGGUCCGCAGACCCCAGGGGGUCUGGAAAACCCACCCAGAGGGCACAGACCCACCAACUGUGUGAGACAUCCUGUUUGGGGGGAACACAUGGAAACGCACAAGAUCGCAACCACAUGCAUGUCUCAUGCAAGAUCGCAGCACCAAAAAAUGUGUGUUUUGGGGCACCAUGCUCUCACGUGAGUCAUGUAACUUGCACAGGAGCGCAGACUGGUUUUGUGCUGCUCAUUUUGGAGGGUAUACUGGCACCAUUCACAUAACAAAAACUACCACAGAGAUAUCAACAUAUUCAAAAUUAAGGGGUCCAUGGCUUGGCUUUCGAGUCUGCUAUAUUUAGCUAAUUGGGAACCACUGGUAUAGGCCAUUGAGUAGACUCAAUAGUCCAGCACGUACCUGGGAAAUAAUAGGUGAAGUAAACAUAUUAAUCAGUUGAAUGGAAAGACUUUCAGUCACAAGACAGAUAACAGUUCACUGAAGUACUCUCCAAGGCCUUUCCAGGUUUCCAUUUCUAGCCAUGUGCUGUGCUAGAGACCUAAAAAAAAAAGUUGUGGUGAGAUUGUAGUAAAAGAAAGGAACAUCAGUUCUUCUAUGCCCUUUUGCCACUUCUCAUAACUAACAGUUCAGUGAUUUAAAAUGUGAUGGAAGAUCCUGUUUCGGUUCCUUAUAACAGUUAAGGGAGAGAUCCUAUGCACAUAAAACUGGCAUGAAGCAAGCCACUGUAAGUUAAGCCUCUGUAAAGUUACACCAGGGCCAAACUUGGUUCAGCAGGAGGACUACUGAUGGCUGAGCUGGCCUCAGCCUGGCAGAGGGAAAACAAGGCUUUAAAAUAGUGUUUGAGUUACAGAACCCUGUUUGCCAUCUUAACUUAUGCCAGAUUCCUAGAUAAUGUGACUGAGCAGAACAGGUUUAGGAACCAGCCUAAAUCUGCUCCUCUACAGUUCUCCAGAACACUCCUUUUUCAGGGCUUAAGAUCCUCCAGGCUCAGCUCAGAAGGGGGGUGGAAUAUGCAGGAGAUCCACUGGAUCCUAACCUACUCAUACCAGUGGAUCUUGCUCCCUAAUCAUAUGACAUGAGAUGUUUCCCAGUUCUUCUUAAUUUUUAAUAAUAAUUUCUUAAUCUGUCAUCAAGCUAUCUUUUGAAAUUAGUAAAGUUCAAGCUUUUAGUCAGAACACUGCACACUUUGGGGGGGGGGGAUGGGAAAAAGUAUUUUGCGCCCUGCCCUCUCUCAUUGGGCAAAGGGGGGCUGGACCAAGGGAAAACUUGGAAAACCAGUUUUAAUUCAACGGAUACCACCCAAUGCCUACAAUUUAAUGCAAGAGAAGGCAACACAAAAAACAGCAAUGGAGCAGAGGAAUUAAAAUGCAAACAUCAUUAGACUUCCGGGUUGGCGCCUGUGGCAAUGGCGGAUUUCCUCCGGGAGGAAUCCGCUCCGUGGAAAACAGGGUCUGAACCGCCACGGCGAGGCGGAGACCCAUCAAAAACCACAGACGGGAGAAGCCUGUGGAUGUGGGAUUUGGCUGGCACCUUUGCGCCCCCCCUACUCGCGGGGAAACCCUGUUUUGGGGAUCCGGAGCGACGUGGGGUGAGUGGUGCGGUGCUUUGAAUCGACUGCUUCUUUCACGGAGUGAAGCCGCAUUGCUGUUGCCGGAGAGCACUGAUUUUUCCUGUGGACAAUUGGAUUUUAAACAACUGCCCAUGAAUAGAACGGAAAAUUGGAUUAAGAAAUUUUUUAAUUUGGCACUGAAGCGGGAAGGUCUAAACAGGAAGUCCGUCUUCCGCUUUUUGUAGAUAGAUUGAAGCAAAGACACGGCAAGCUAGAGUUUAGAAGGUCGUCUGUAAAGGACCAAAAUUUCAUCAUUUAAAAUUACUGAACCCCCCUUGGAAGCAGGAGAGGGGGGGGGACCUUUUUUAGACUGUUUAAACCUGCAGAAGAGAGAGUAAAGAAAGGCAAUUUUCCACCGUCUUGAACCUGGGAGCGGGGUGUCAGGACAGACGUUCUGGGGAAGUUCAUUGACUAUGGACAAACGUUUUUGACAGAUAGUUAAAAGAAGAGAAACAUAUUGAUUCCAUUGUUCCCUUCGCAUUUAAAAGGAACAAAAUAUUGAAAAAAUAUCCAAAAAGGAAAACUUUGUUGCUAGAUCUGCUUUUUUAAAAAAAGGAUGGAUACAAAAAGAAAUUGUUUCCCUAGAGGAAGCUUUUGAAACUGUUAUUAAAACCAAACUGGGGAGCUUUGCAGCUGUAAUAGAUUAAGAUCGUGGGACCAGACUUCGACCUUGAACAAGAAUGUACUAGGAGGCUCUGGUGUUUGCCUUUUGCAAGACAAGUGCUUUAUUGGAACAGUUACAUGAGAAGAUGGAUUUGAUGACUGUUGCGAUCGGAAAUUUUGGACAGACAGUGGGUACCUAUAUAGAACCCACUCAGGAAUUAAUCCAGGAAUGUGCUUUGACAGAUGAGAUGAAGGAGGAGGCUGUUGCUGGACCCCGGGUGGCACAGAUGGAGGGAGCUGUGGCCCAGCAGGAACCUGAGUUGUUGGAUUUGACGAAUGAACCUGGAAAAGUCAGAUUUGGCGAGAUGGAGUUCUGUUUGGCUUGGAGAUGGGGGGCUGGAUGGACCCCCCUAUGCAGGGAUGUUUUGAUUUUUCAAGUCUGGCUUUGGGCUGGGGGGAGCUCGGAGUUGUGGGGGCCCUUAACUUUGGAGGGGCCUUGAAACAUGCCUUCAAAUACCACGUGGAUUUCGGUGUUGACUAUGGAAAAGGGGCUGACCUGUUGAGAAGGGACAAAAAUAUUGUCAAGCUGGAGUCUCCCCGAGUGAAAGGAGCAGAAGACAAAGUAAAGUACAGGUAUAAAUAUGAAGAAGACCUGCGGAAGGGACAUGGAAGAGACUUAAGAGCCUCGGACAUAAGGUCACCAGGUUGAUGGACUAGAUGGAUGGGAUAGAAAGGACUGACAAAACCCGAGACCAGGAAGAAGAGACGAUGGAUGAAGAUUGGAAGAAAGUUUUAAAAAUUCUUUUAGAAAAGUAUCGUAAAAUUAAUGAGUAUUAGAAAAAUGUUGGAAUGAAAUUAUUGGGCUUUAGCAGAAAUGUUAAAAAGAAUUAUGUAAGAAUAUGUAAUGGUUAAGAGAAUUUGGUAUAAAUAAGAUUUAAGUUUUAAGUUUUAGGACUUUUUAUGGUAAGAUAAGGUUAAAAUAGAUUAAGGUAAUUUAAUGACAGAAUAUUGUGAAAGAUGGAAAGGAUUUGCUGAGAUAAUUAAUAACUAGAAUACAACAAAGGGAGGUGUGAGGAGGUCGAUGAAAUAAGGUACUGACAGAAGGAUCUGGGAAUAUUGGAUUUGUUUUUAAAUUUUUUGUUUAUUUUUGCUUUUUGAUUUUGAUGUAUUGUGUGUUUUGUUUUUUCUUUUUGACUUUGGUUUUUAUUGAUUUGUAUUGUUUAAUUGUUACUUUUAUCUACUUUUUUCUUUCCUUUUUUUCCUCUUGGUUCUUCCUUCUUAUUUCUUUGUAACCUUAAAAUUCUCAAUAAAUAUCAUUUAAAAAAUAAAUAAAUAAAUAAAAUGCAAACAUCAUUAAGCAUAGCUAGACAAGCAUUUGUUUGGAUUGGUUUAGGUGUAGUCAAUCCCCGAAGCAAAAGGAUUAAAUGAAGGACAUCUUAAAGUCACUUCUAGCUGCAUGUUUAAAGGAAUCCCCCUCUUGAGGUGAAGAUAAAUAGACCUUUGGCAAUGGCAAUUUCAGGAAAGAUUCAUGCUAUGGGUGGAAUUAAAUAAGAUAAAAAUCCCUUGCCUGAAAAGAGAAAAUAGUACGUUAAAUAACACGCACACACUUAGGGACAAGUCAUCUUCUUAUUGAUCUUUGCAAAAUUAUUUUGAUGUCUCAAGUUCUCAGGUGUUUUGCCUUGGCAAGGACUUUGGCUAGUGGUGCCAGAACUGACAGUUGUAGGGAAAACACUUGUCAUUUGAACUUGGAACUCUGGGGGCAUGCAAACUUCAAACUCCUCUGGUUUUCAUGCUUCCAGUUUACCCUUCUGUGAUAAACACAUGUACUUCUGAAGCAGGAAAUCUAUACAAUGGAAUGCAUUUGUCCUCUUCCUUUUUCUUUCUUUCUUUUUUAAAGCAGCAAACAGAAUCAAACUUACAGUUUCCAUCUCUAAUUGGAAUAGCACAGCUAACAUCUUGUAGAGGGGUACUUUGAAAACAUAGCAUUAAAAUUGAAGCAAAGGCAAUUAACAUCCAUGGUCAUCCUGAAACUCUUACCAUCUAGCUUCUUUGAAUUAUCCCAUCUUUCUUGUAACUUUUAGAGCAUCCUUGUAAAAUAAGCUAGUAUUAUUAAUCCUAUUUGAAGCUCAACAUCAAAAAAACGAAGAUCAUGGCCACUGGUCCCAUCACCUCCUGGCAAAUAGAAGGGGAGGAAAUGGAGGCAGUGAGAGAUUUUACUUUCUUGGGCUCUAUGAUCACUGCAGAUGGUGACAGCAGUCACAAAAUUAAAAGAUGCCUACUUCUUGGGAGAAAAGCAAUGACAAACCUAGACAGCAUCUUAAAAAGCAGAGACAUCACCUUGCCGACAAAGGUCCGUAUAGUUAAAGCUAUGGUUUUCCCAGUAGUGAUGUAUGGAAGUGAGAGAUGGACCACAAAGAAGGCUGAUCAUCGAAGAACUGAUGCUUUUGAAUUAUGGUGCUCUUGAGAGUCCCAUGGACUGCAAGAAGAUCAAACCUAUCCAUUCUUAAGGAAAUCAGCCCCGAGUGCUCACUGGAAGGACAGAUCCUGAAGCUGAGGCUCCAGGAAGAGAACUCCCUGGAAAAGACCCUGAUGUUGGGAAAGAUUGAGGGCACAAGUAGAAGGGGACAACAGAGGACGAGAUGGUUGGACAGUGUUCUCGAAGCUACGAAUAUGUUUGACCAAGCUGCAGGAGGCAAUGGAAGACAGGAGUGCCUGGAGUGCUCUGGUCCGUGGGGUCCAUGGGGUCACGAAGAGUUGGACACGACUAAACGACUAAACAACAACAAAAUUAAUCCCAUAGUGUGGAUUGUGUGGCACCUGACAGCAAGAGACAAAAACCUUUCAGAGACUCUGCCUAUUUCCGCUCUGUCUCAGUCAGCAUAGCUAAUCCAGCAUAGUAUUGAAGAAGCUUCUAAAAAAACCUUCAAAGAAGUUAGAGAAAGUAAAAAAGAAUGUGAAAAAACUAAAAAGGAGAUAGAAGAAUUCAGAAUAACACAAGAAGCCACUUGGGACGCUCUGGCAAUUUUGCAGAUGCAGACCAAGGAAAAACACUCAGACUACCUGGGGUCCCUGGGGCCCCAGAGGAAAAUACACAAACAAAGAUUAUUAAGGAACUGGCCACUUGGUUAGAUUUGGAGGAAGAAGAAAUAAUAUGAAACACGGAAAACAUAUUCAGAUUGAACUCUAAAAAAGCUAAAGCCAACAAAUGGUCGGGAGAUUGCCUAAUUACUUUUAUUUCUAAUAAAUUAAGAAAGAAGAUUUUGCAGGCAAGAGGUCAAAGAAAAUUUAAAAUUGAAGGAAAAGAGAUCAUAAUUUUAAAAGAAAUUCCUCCCCGCCUACUGAAAAAAAGAGAUAAAUUCCAGUUUCUGGCCAAAGCUCUUAAAGCGAAAUCAAUAUGUCAGACCACUUUUCAUAUAUGCAACAACUGCAGCCAGAAUUCUGGUAGCAAGGAAUUGGAAAAGUGAAAAAAUUACUAGAAUAACCAAAUGGCAGGUCCAAAUGAUAGAGUGUUCACAGUUGUCUAGGAUGACAGGGAAAAGUAGAGGAAACCCGACUCAGAAGGUACAUAAGGAAUGGAAAAUAUUUAAAGAAUAUUUGAAAAAAUAUUGUAAUAACAAAAAUCUCCUGGCAGAUUAUGACUGAUAUUUGUAAGAAGUAGGUGAUAAACAUUUAAGCAUUCUGGAUAAUAACUAGGAAAACAAAACAAUAGUCUGAUGCUGUGUGUAAAAUAAUCAGAAUAAGCGACAGUACAAUGGGAAGUCAAUUUUAUUUCUUCUUAAUCUUUUCUUUUCUUCUUUCUUUUUUCCUUUUUUUCGUUCUGUAAAUUAGUUAAUGGUGAUGUAUACAAUGUAUAGUUGUAUAUAGUUGUGUUCUGUAGUAUACUAUGGAGUGAUGUGGUUUGUUGUGGAAUUAAAUAUUGUUUGUCAAAUAAACUUUAAUUUUAAAGCAACAACAACAUAAUAACCAAUACAACUUCCUUUUGAACAACUUUGUAUUUAAACAAAGUCUGAGAUACACAGGAAAUUGAGCCUCCUAUAGAUAGAACUACAACCUUGCCAUACCAAUCUCAUUGGACAAUCGCAGAGAGCAUGCCGUAGUAGAGGAGGAAACAAGUUUGUUCCCUCUUCCUUGAUAUAUUUGAAGAUGGUUAUCAUAUCUUGAAGAGCAAAAAAGAGGACAGCCCAAGCCACUGCCAACCUGAGCAGGAUGGGCGUGUUGGCCCCCAAAGAGGACAUGUCUUGGAUUUCCCGGUUGUAAGGCAACCCCACAUUAGGGUUGCCUGUACAUUUUCCAAAAAAAACCAAAUGCAGCCACACAGGUUUUUGGUGCUCCUAGUUUGGGUUCCUGUAUAUUUUUUCCCUUGAUGGUCAAUAGCAAGCUUAGAAUGAUAGACUCACAGAACUGUAGAAUUGGAAGGGAUCAAGACCAUUGCACAAAAUAGUUGGGCACACACCUGUCUCCAUCAAGAUGCAGCCUGAGUCAAAAUUGCUGCCUCCCUUUAGGCACUUAAGCUGACACAUUCAUGCAUUUCUCACAUCACACCUGAUGAGGCUGCUUGAUUCUCUAAAAGGCUCAUAGCAGCACAGCAGAGGAUUGUGAGCCUCUUUUAGGUCUGUCUAGCACCAAGAGCCAUGUGCAGUGGUAGGAAGACAGUUGCAAAGCUGUGGGCAAGCAAGCAGCGGGAGUGGCCUGGGGUGCUUGUGGUGAUUCACACAUGCACACAAACUCUCUCUUACUCUCUCUCACAUUAAAAGUACCCUCCUUGUAUACUGUCCACAUCAUCAUAAUUGUACAAUGUGCGCUGGGGGUGGGGAGCAUCAGCUGCAUGGGGAGAAAAGCACACAAGGAUGACCUUCCCCACAUGCCCCCUCCCCAACACAGCCAUACUUCCCCACAGAGCCGUCUUUCCCAUAGGGCUUAGUGGUGCAUUGCGCCAGGGUGCCGGCCUCUCAGGGGCGCCCCAGAGAGUGGGGGAGCUGUGCAGCUUUGCCAGUGGCCUCCCCUUUCCCCGCAUGCCCGCCAGCUGCGCCCCGCCAACCAUAAGGCUGGCGGGCGUGCAGCUUCCCUCCCAAGCCUCCCAAGCCUCUGCGGGGAUCGCUCUCCUGCAGUGGCAUGGGGGAGAGUUGCACCCCCCCCCCCGGAUGUCUGGCAGUGUGCAGCUAUGGCCAUCCCAACACUAUACAUGGUAAUUUGUGGGCGCUGGGCUGAUCUUUGCACCCCGGCGCCACAUCUGCUAAAGACGGCCCUGCUUCCCCCAGUCUGCCAAGUGACAUUGGCAGCAAGAUUUGGCAGUGGGGGGAUUUGGCCACAGAGACAACUGGGACACUCAGGCAGGCUGCUCUGAAUUGCUUCUGCGGGCUGCGUGGGGCUCAGUUUUAAAGACUUGGUGAAAACAGGGCCACAUUCCAUCACUGAGCUGCUUCAGUAAGAAACAAAUUGCUUGUCAGUCAUUGCUUCACUCCAGUCAAAGGUAAUACCCCUUGUGUUCCAUUCAUUCCAUGACAGAAAAAAUACAGAAUUUACAAGAAGGAGCUGUAAUGCCGAAAGAGAAGAACAAUGGAAAGGUUUAAGUGUGAUUCUGCUCUCACCCACCGCCUUUCAUUGCACUUGAUUUUAAGUCAUAUUAUUACUAAACCAGUGUAGGAUUUUUCAACAAAAGAGCACAGCCCAGGCUUUACUUCCAUCUCUGGGAACCUGCAUUUUAGGAAAAACAUGUCUUUCAGGAGCAAGCAGUGAUUACCAAUUAGUUGCAUUAUCUUUUUGUCAGUGUUUCUCAACAGGUAGUGUCUAAAUAGGCAUAAAUGCAUCUCUAAAGAAUAAAGACAAAGGAAUAAACACAUAGGUAGAAAUGUAAUUUCACUGAUUAAGUACCUUUUACUCAAGAGCUUGCAGAGUAAGUGCCUGAUUGAAAAGCCUUCCUUCUGAUGUUAAUGGGCCAUUUGUCAAACAUUAUUAUAUAGUAAAUGAUGGCCACUGUGUAGACAAGUGCUUAGAAUUUACUUCUAAAUGCUGAUGCCCCUACCAAACACACACACAGAGUAAACACAUGGAAAUAUUGAGUCAAACCAUGAUAGUCCAGUGUUUGUGCUUUCAAAAGCAAAGGGGGGGGGGAGAGAUUUAACAUGUAUAAUUUCAAAAUGCAUAGUUAUGAAAACUAGUGACUGUUUAUCAACAAAAAAUAAAAAUAUUAAAAAAUCAAAACAAUUUAGCUAGAUGUCCUCCUAGGUUUCAUUAUACAGAGGGAAGGGAAAGCUGAGUGUAGUUAGUUGGGUACUCUGGACUUUCAGUUGAUUUCCAAAAGCUUAAGGAACAAUGAGUUGUAGCCAGGAUAUAUGUUGGGGAGACACACACCUGUCAUUAUCUUCUGUCUGGCUCUGUCUAGCAGAUUCAGGAAGAAAUGCAUCAACAACAGUUGUUUUAAAUUACUUUCUUUUGACCCCAAGUACUCAGAAAAUCUGUCAAAAUCUUCAGUCAUUUGAAAACUAGGAAGUUAAAUAUAAAAUUAACAUCAGGGAGUACCUUCCAUGAAGUUAACGAGUAUAUUUUGCAAAAUUGCAAAGAAUGGACCUUUUUUCAUCUUUUUUUUUUAAAAACCUAAACUAAAACAAGUUUACUUGGACUUGCUAAAAAACUUUUCAGCAGAUCCUUCUCAAAUUCCUCUUUUCUAUUGCAGUUUUUCUGUCCACACUCAGUAAGCAAAGCCCAUUGAGAUGCUCCCCUGUCAUCGUCAACCUUAGCCAUGUCUUUACUCUCUGCAAGGUACUGAAUGACUGCUCCAGGGUACAAGUCGUGCCUGGCUGAGCAAGAGAGGUGAGCAGAGCCUUUUUUGUGGCAGGGUAAAAGAUUUCUGCCUCUUUUACUAGAACCGGGCUGCCUGUGACAAGAAGAGUAAGUUCAUGGAAUCUACUAUUCAGUCAAAUUGCCGGUUGCGUCAUUAGAAUGUAUCACAACAUCAUCCAAGUGACCUCAGCAAGCAUUUCAAUUUCAAAUAUUCUGAUUAUUUCUACUUUCAGUUAAGUAUUUUUAUUUAUUUACUUGACUUUGGUGGACGUGCCCAAAGAUUAAGGCUUUCUGGGAGAUGAUAUAUAAUGAAUUAAAAAAGGUAUUUAAAUAUACCUUCUUGAAGAAACCAGAGGCCUUUCUCCUGGGCAUAGUCGGCCAAUCGGUGUUAAAAAAGGAUAGAACUUUCUUCAUGUAUGUUACAACAGCAGCAAGAAUACUCAUCGCAAAGUAUUGGAAGACACAAGAGCUACCCACACUGGAGGAAUGGCAGAUGAAAAUGAUGGACUACAUGGAAUUGGCGGAAAUGACUGGCAGAAUCCGCGACCAGGGAGAAGAGUCGGUGGAAGAAGAUUGGAAGAAAUUUAAAGAUUAUUUACAGAAAUAUUGCAAAAUUAAUGAAUGUUAGAGUGAUUUUGGAUUGAAAUUAAGUGGCUUCUAGCUGUAUAGGCUUUAAAGUUAUAAAUAGAUUAAGAUCAAGGAUUAGGAUUAAAAAGGUUAAAAGAAUGGAAAAUUGGUUUUUAAUAGGUAAAAAUUUAAUGUUAUAUUAUAUUAAGAUUAAGGACUGGGAUUAAAAAGGAGGGAAAGGAAUUGCUGGACUAACAAACUGAAUUGGAAUACAAAAGAGGGAGGUAUGAGGAGGUCCGGGAAACAAGUAAAUGUAAAAGUAGUGAUGAAAAGAUGGAAUUGUUUUUAACUGUUUUUUCUUUUUUCUUUUUGUAUUUUGUAUUGUGUACUUUUCUUUAUAUUCUUGAAUUUUUCUUUUUUGGUGAUGUGAUUUUUUCUUUGUGAAACGUUAAUAAAUAUCAUUUAAAAAAAAUAAAAAAUAAAAAAAAUAAAGGCAAGGUAAGGAGAACUUGCUCACAAGAGUCCUGUGCCUUGUGAGAAGGUUGAGUGUGUAGGUGCGCACUCAGGCUGCCCCACCCUCAAUGGUUAGCUGACACCUUCCCUGGAUUUCAUUGAUGCUCUCCUCUCAUCAGAAGGGAAGAGGAGAGGCAGCCCCACCCUCCCACCAUUUCAUCCUCCUCUUCCCCUUGUUGACUGUGAUGAAUGAGCAUCCCUACUGAGACGGUUCUGGAUUUGGCUCAGAUUUCAAAAUGUGUUACUUUAUUCGUUUCUUUUCUUUUUGUUGCUCAUCUUCUUAAAGGUUAAACAACAACACAUAUGCAACAGCAAAAUCCCCAACAACUAUGAUGCGGCACAGAAUUUAACCAUGUGAUACAACAUAUAAAAGAAAAAGAAAAAACAGACAGCAUCCAGAUUAUCCAAUACAAAAAUAAAUAAAUAUAGCACAAUAUCUGUUAGAAUGUAUUUUAGCACUAUUUUGCUAUUGUGCCAAAAUUUGUAACUUUCUUACAGUUCUCAAAUGUUUUUAAAAACCAAAUCAUUUUAUUCAAGCUGAGUGCAAAUUGGUCUAGGGUUUUCUGUUGCAGAUUUUGCUUUUGUCUAAAAUGUAACUUUUGAUUUAUUUUUUUAAAAAAAUCAGCAACAUGACAGAGACUUGUGAAAUAACUCAUUGUUUUUUGCAGCAUUCCUGUUUAAUUCAUGGUUUUGCCUGACAUAUGCUUAGUGAGAUACAGGUGUGAGAACUGCACUUAGAUGUAAUUUGACAUGCCCAUCAUUUCCAUUAUGCAGACCCAGUAAAAUCCAAUCUGUCAGUGCAUAUGUCCUAUAACUUGCUGGACUUUCAUCAAAGCAUAAGCAAGUAAGCUCAUCAUUCAAGGUGUUGCAGCUGAGUGAGUCAAAACACCGGGUGUCCAUUUCAUGGUAAUUAUUCAGCUCAUAUGUAGAGCUAACAUAUUGGCGUUAUUUAUCUUCGUUAGUUACAAAAAUUAUAGGCCACCUUUAUGAGAAAAAGUCAAUCAAGGUGUGUUAUACAGCAACAGAUAAAAGUACAACUCCAACUAUAAUAAAUCAAAUAGAAAUUAUUGUGAGAAGGAAUGAGAUUAUGAAUUGUAGCAUUCCUCCCAUGAUUUAAGGAAUCAGUUUCAAGAUAUUAAUAAAUGCCUUAAUGCAGUGGUUCUCAAAGGGUGUGACACGCCACACCGGUGUGGCAGGGGAGUGUGGCAAGUGUGGUGGAAAGAUUCAAGGACAAUCAAAUAAAUAUUUAAACAUUUCAUUGUAGGGUGGUAUAGCAUCAAUUGUUUGUUUGUUUGUUUGGCUAUACAACCAUUUCCACACCUCUCUUCAAGAGCAUUGGCUAUUCUUCUACAGUGUUCCAUGACAUAUUGUUGUGAACAGGGAUUUUCAACUCUGACAAAUAUGGAAGAUCAGAAAAGAGAAAGGCUUCUUUGUAUUGAUGAGAUUAGAGUUUGUUUGUCUCAAAUUAGACCUAAUAUGAUUGAGAUUACAUGGCAAAAGCAAGCUCACAACUUUCAUUGAAUUUGUAUACAUACUGUCAGGGGUUCAGGGAGAGAGGCACAGGGUAGGCAGGAGAUGGAGAGCGAUGGGGAUGAAUUCCAAGCCAGCGAGGAAGAGGAUGACAAUGACUCAAGAGAUUCCAUGAGUCUUUCCAGCGAAUCAGAGGAUUCCCAGAAGGGGGCGCCGGUGGUUAAGGCCAGGGGAGCCCCAGGGGGGACGUGUCAGGAGCAGGGGGCCAGCGGAGGAUCCCAAAGUGGCAGCUGGGCGUCAGGACCAGCCUCCCCACCAGAGUGCAGCGAAGGGGGUGGAGUUUCCAGUGUGUCAGAGGAAGCAGCUCCGGGAGCAGAGAAAGGAGGGAGGUCAGAGCAAGCCGCCCUUCCGGAAGGGGAGGGAGCAGUGAAGGGAGUAGUGUAACUGUCAAAAGGAAAGUUAGAGGUUUGGCGCGCGCGCCUAGUUCAAAUGUAGAGGCGCGCGGAAGUACAGGGAGCCCGGAGGAGGGGCCAGGUCCCAAAGCCCGCAGGAGGGGGGAAGAGCAGUCUGGGGAUUCAGCGUCAGAGGAAUCCAGGAGGGGCGAAACCCCAGCGGGCAGAAGGACCCUGCGGAAAAGGAAGGAGAGAAAGAGGUGGAGCAGCGCAAGCCUCUUAAAUUGGUGCAGGGGAGGGACGGAUUCAGAGGGGACUUCAGCGGUCUAAGCGUAAGAGACGUAAGGCUGCGCGCCUAGGAUGUCAAGCAAACAAUGAACUGCAAUAAACACCUUUGUAUAUAAGAAGACAUAGGCGUUGGUCUUUUGUGAGCUGAGACUUGAGGCAGCUUUGACAGUAAGUCCCCUCUCCUAAAAGAACCGCAAAAUUUUUUUUUGCAAAGCUCACGAAGUUUGGCAGCGAUGACUACUGAGGAGCAGAUAGCGUCCCUGCAAAACGCAGUCACCGAGCUCUCCACUGCCGUCGUGGUCUCUCAGAAGACGGUUGCCGAAGCAGAAGCGCGAUGCCAGGAUCUGCAAGCCAGGUGGGAUCGGGCGUGCAGAGAGGGGUUCCCGGGGUCCAGAUCAGAGGGAAUCGGACUCGGACGGAGGGGGGGCAAUUUAGUAGCCCACUUCGAUGGGAACCUGAAGCAUUAUCCCAAUUUCAGAGCAGACGUCGUAUACGCGCUGCAUUUGCUUCGAAAAGACUUCAAAGAUGAGGAGGAAAAAGUGGGUUUUAUUGUGUCCCAUCUGCAUGGGGAAGCAAGAACCUGGUUACGCAAUUUGUGGCGCGAAGAUGGUCUUGCACGCAGGGACUCUGAUGAAUUUCUCAAAGCCAUGGACGCUUGCUUCCAAUCUACUGUUGACGUUGAUGUGGCACGCCAGGAGAUGCAUGGAUUGCGGCAGGGCAAGGCUACAGUGCGUCAGUACCAUUCUCGCUUUUUUGCAUUGCUGAAUGUGCUGGGCUGGGAAAAGGACUCCCUGGCAGUGAGGGACUUGUUCUGGGAAGGGCUUCAUGGCUCAGUGAAAGAUGAGCUGGCUAGGGAGACAGACCUCAAACCCUAGCAGACGUCGUGCAGAGGGCACUCACGAUAGGGGUGCGCCACGAAGAACGCCCUUGGCACAGGGAGGAGGGGCGUCACGUCCGCCCACCAGCUAGAGCGCCUCCUUUUCCUUCCAGGGACCUGGAACGUUCAAACCUUUCGCCUGUGCCGGCAGCAGGGGAAGCGUUCCAAGGGGAGCGGUUUCAGGGAAACGAGAAUGCCUGGUUGGAGGGAGAGAUGCUGGGGCUCCGCCAGGCAAGUCAGUGAAGCAGUCCCCAGCGCUUUUGCAGCCUACAGACCCCUUACCACCCAAGCCAGUGGUGCAGCUCACUGCUACUCUCCAGCUAAUGGACUCACCCUGGAAGUCCCCAUUACGAUUGACUCAGGGAGCAACGCAGACUUCGUGGGGGUGCAGUUCGUCAAGCAGCAUCGCAUAGCGCUACUACCAGCCACGCUGCCUCUGAAUGUGGUCACUGUAGAUGGCAGGAAGUUGCUGGGUGGGCAAGUGGUACAACAGACGCCACCCAUGCUGCUGAAAAUUGGGAAUCAUCGCGAGGUCAUCAGUUUCAAUGUCACCCAACUGUCAGACACGCCCAUAGUGUUAGGCAUGAGUUGGCUGGAUAGACACAGCCCAUCAUUGGCGUGGUACCAGCGGCAGCUCACCUUUGGCUCGUCCUACUGCGCACAACAUUGCAUCCAGAUCGGCCAGGAGGAGGAGGGCCAGGAGGAAGGGCAACAGCUGCAUCUAGGCAUGGUGCAGGCAGUGCCCCACAAGUACAAGGGGUUUUUGGAGGUCUUCUGCGAGAAGGAAGCUGACCAAUUACCACCCCACCGGCCCUACGACUGUGCAAUUGACCUCUUACCAGGAGCGACGCUGCCGACUGCGAAGCUGUAUUCCAUGUCUGAAGAUGAGAUGCAGGAGCUCAGGGAGUUCAUAGAUCACAAUUUGAAGCGGGGAUUCAUCCGAGAAUCCAAGGCAGUGGGGGGCAGUCCUGUGUUUUUCGUGAAGAAGAAGGACACGCCCCAAAACGGCUCAUUGUGGACUAUAGGGCCAUAGACUCGAUGACAAAACCCAAGGCUUUCCCCAUGCCCAAGAUUGACGACCUGCUCGCGACGGUGAGGAAGGGGAGGAUCUUCACCAAGUUGGAUCUACGCGGAGCAUACAAUCUAAUACGCAUGAGGGAAGGUGACGAGUGGAAGACGGCCAUGUUCACGCCGCUGGGCACCUAUGAAUACAGAGUUAUGCCGUUUGGUCUCCAAGGUGGCUCCCACUGUUUUCAAGCAUUCAUGCACCACGUGCUAGCAGGACUCCUCUACAAGAAGUGCGUAUGUUUUCUCGACGAUAUUCUGAUCUUCUCGGAAUCGCAGGAGACUCACGAAAGAGACGUAAAGGAGGUCCUGCAGAGGCUACGGGAGCACAGACUCUACGCCAAGCUGGAGAAGUGCCAGUUCGACGUGGCGGAGGUGGAUUUCCUGGGCUACCGGCUGUCCGACAAGGGACUAGCCAUGGACAGCGCCAAGGUCCGCGCGGUGUUGGACUGGAAUAGCCCGCGCAAUCGGAAGGAGGUCCAGAGGUUCGUCGGCUUCGCCAACUUUUACCGCAAGUUCAUCAGGGGUUUCGCGAAAGAGACGGCAGCUAUCACGGACACCCUCAGUUCCAAGAAGAAAAAGUUCACCUGGACGGACCAGGCGGAGCAGUCCUUCAGGAGACUUAAGAGUCUCUUCGCGUCCGAAGACCAGCUGCUACACGUGAAUCCCGGCAGGCCCAUGCGGGUUGAGACUGACGCAUCUGACAGAGCAGUGGGGGCCGUCCUCUUGCAGGAAGAUUCGCAAGAGAACUGGAGGCCCUGCGCUUUCUAUUCCCGGAAGCUCAGCAAGUCGGAACAGAACUACACCAUCUGGGACAGGGAGUUGUUGGCCAUCCACGCGGCUUUCAAGGCGUGGCGGCACUUCCUCAUCGGAGCCAAGCACACCGUGCAGGUCCGCACGGACCACAAGAACCUAGAGUAUUGGCGCACGGCGAAGCUCCAGAGCCAGAGGCACAUGAGAUGGGCGGAGUUCUUUGCGGAUUUCGAUUUCCGGAUAGAGUAUAUCCCGGGAGACAACAACGUCAUAGCGGAUGCGCUCUCCAGGAAACCGCAGUAUCUUGAGGAAGCGGCACCAGUGGCAGCCAGGCACAUUUUUGCACCGCAAGCGUGGGCGUGCGCUUCUGCCGCCGUGGACCUGGACGCGGUACGACGCGCGCUACAGACGGAUCCGUUCGCACAAUCCAAGAUGGAGGAGGUGCGAAGAGGGACAGCAAAGGACGGCGAAUUCCAGAUACGCGACGGCCUGCUGACCCGCAAAGGUGCUCUCUACGUCCCGGGAGACGAUCUCCGCGCGAAGGUUUUACAGCAGUUACACGACGCCCCCAGCGCGGGUCACUUCGGCAAGGAAAAGACGGCGGACUUAGUAGCCAGAGACUUUUGGUGGCCCCAGAUGCGGGGAGAAGUCGCGGAUUACGUCGCCAGGUGUGACACUUGUCAGAGGUCCAAGCCAGUGCACAAGAAGCCAGCGGGAUUGCUGGAACCGUUGGAGACGCCACUGCAGCCGUGGGAAAGGGUGGCGCUGGACUUUGUCACUGAUCUGCCCAGUUCGCGGGGCAAGACGGCGGUGCUUGUGGUUGUAGAUCUGUUCACCAAGAUGGCGCACUUCAUUCCUUGCGCGAAGGUGGCAACAGCGGAACAGACCGCCAGGCUAUUCAUAGACCACGUGUUCCGGGUGCACGGCUUACCACGGUCCAUCCUGUCCGACCGGGGUCGCCAAUUCAUUUCCAGUUUCUGGCAGAAGCUCCUGGGCAUCCUGAAUGUCAAGAUCAACUUAGCGUCGGCGAGACACCCGCAAACCAACGGCCAAGCGGAGAGGGUCAACGCCAUCAUGCAGCAGUACCUGCGAUGUUACGCCAAUCAGAAGCCUGCAACUUGGGUGGACUACUUACCGAUGGCCGAGUUUGCCUACAACAACACGAAGCACGCGUCAACGGGGUGACACCGUUCUUCGCCAACAAUGGGCGACAUCCCAGAACCUUCCCGGCGUUGGAGACGACGCCGGGGGAGUCGCAGGGAGCGGAACAUUUAGCAGCAGAAUUGCAGGAGGUCCACGAGGAGCUACGACGGCACUUGGAACUAGCUAAACACGCCUACAAAGUGCAGGCAGACAGGCACAGGAGGGCAGGAGAAGACAUCCAGGUGGGGGACUGGGUAUGGUUAGCAGCCCAGGCGGUGCCGGCCAAGUCGUUAGCUAAGAAGAAGCUAGGACACAAACAGCUAGGGCCAUACCAAGUUGAGGGCAGGAUCAAUCCCGUAGCUUUUCGGUUGACCCUCCCAGAGGAUUCCCGAAUGCACCCGGUCUUUCAUAGGUCGGUGCUUACACCCUACAAGGCCCCACACAGAUUUCAGGAGCCAGGGACGGCACCAGACCCACGUAGAAAGUCACCAGGGGGGGGAAGUCACCGAGGACCCCGACACUCAACGAGGUCACGGAAAUUCUGGACUCGAGAUGGGGGGAGGGAGUGGAAUACCUCCUCGCCAGGGAAGGUACCCCGGCCAGCGCCAACAGUUGGGUGCCAGAUUAUGCUCUGGAGGAACCUUUUCUUAAGGACGAGUUCCAUGCACUCUUCCCACACAGGCCCAUGCCAGAGGAGUAUUUUGACGACUGGCUUUUACCCCCACACUUUCAGGCAGCACCUUCCGGGGGUUCUCCUCCGCAGAGGAGACCACGCCGCAAUCGAGCCCUCCAAGGGGAUCGUGCUCGGGGGUGGACACGGACCGCUCUUAUUGGUGGGACGAUCAACCAGAAGUGGGGUGGCGAAGGGGCCCUUGGCAAGCAGCUUCGCCUGAAGUAACAGGGGGAGGGAAGGGUUUGGAGGUGUUGGGGGAGGACCCACUGGAAGCAGAGGAGAUCGACGUCGACGAACUGUAUCCAGCAUCUACCCCCGCUACAACGAAGCUCCCGGAACCUGCGCCCGAGCAGCGGGAGGGGGAAGGGGGGCUUCGAGGGGGAUGGAUGUCAGGGGUUCAGGGAGAGAGGCACAGGGUAGGCAGGAGAUGGAGAGCGAUGGGGAGGAAUUCCAAGCCAGCGAGGAAGAGGAUGACAAUGACUCAAGAGAUUCCAUGAGUCUUUCCAGCGAAUCAGAGGAUUCCCAGAAGGGGGCGCCGGUGGUUAAGGCCAGGGGAGCCCCAGGGGGGACGUGUCAGGAGCAGGGGGCCAGCGGAGGAUCCCAAAGUGGCAGCUGGGCGUCAGGACCAGCCUCCCCACCAGAGUGCAGCGAAGGGGGUGGAGUUUCCAGUGUGUCAGAGGAAGCAGCUCCGGGAGCAGAGAAAGGAGGGAGGUCAGAGCAAGCCGCCCUUCCGGAAGGGGAGGGAGCAGUGAAGGGAGUAGUGUAACUGUCAAAAGGAAAGUUAGAGGUUUGGCGCGCGCGCCUAGUUCAAAUGUAGAGGCGCGCGGAAGUACAGGGAGCCCGGAGGAGGGGCCAGGUCCCAAAGCCCGCAGGAGCCGGGAAGAGGAGUCUGGGGAUUCAGCGUCAGAGGAAUCCAGGGGGGCGAAACCCCAGCGGGCAGAAGGACCCUGCGGAAAAGGAAGGAGAGAAAGAGGUGGAGCAGCGCAAGCCUCUUAAAUUGGUGCAGGGGAGGGACGGAUUCAGAGGGGACUUCAGCGGUCUAAGCGUAAGAGACGUAAGGCUGCGCGCCUAGGAUGUCAAGCAAACAAUGAACUGCAAUAAACACCUUUGUAUAUAAGAAGACAUAGGCGUUGGUCUUUUGUGAGCUGAGACUUGAGGCAGCUUUGACACAUACUUAAGGUAAAUAUGUAAGAGGCUCUUUUAUAACUGUAGUUGGGGAAUGAUUCAUGUUCUAUUCUAAAUUAUUUUUGCAUUGUUUUAUAUUUUCUGUCCCAUGAUAAUAUUAUAAAGUAGUUGUGUUCUGUUAUAAAUCAAGUACUGCUGGGAGUUGUUUCUUUCUGUUUUCCAAUGUAUUUCUUAGCAAAAAAAAAAUUUGGUGUGGUGCAAGCAAAUUUUUGACGCGGGUGGCGCUGUGGGUAAAACCUCAGCGCCUAGGACUUGCCGAUCGCAUGGUCGGCGGUUCGAAUCCCUGCGGCGGGGUGAGCUCCCGUUGUUCGGUCCCAGCGCCUGCCAACCUAGCAGUUCAAAAGCACCCCCGGGUGCAAGUAGAUGGCUUGCCAGAUGCAGCUUGUCACGCUGGCCACGUGACCCGGAAGUGUCUGCGGACAGCGCUGGCUCCCGGCCUAUAGAGUGAGAUGAGCACACAACCCUAGAGUCUGGCAAAACUGGCCCGUAGGGGCAGGGGUACCUUUACCUUUACCUUUAAGCAAAUUUUUAUUCUUAAAGUGUGGCCCAGAGAAAAAAGUUCAAGAACCACUGUUUUAAUGGCACUAGAGAUUACCUGUCGUAGGGUCCCAUUCAGUUAGAAUGCCCUGCCAUCAGAAUCAGAGCAGGUUCCAAAUCCCAAGAAUUAAAAUGCAGAGAGGGCCCAGAAGUCUUGUCUUAAGUACAUUCUGAAAGUAUUAAACUGGGGAAAAGCUGGUUCCCUCUCCUUCAUAGAACCAAUAAUUUAGAAUAUUCUCUGGGUAAUAAUUUGUUAGAUGUUAUACUGUCUGUUAAUUUUCAAAGUACCAUAAUACUGAAAGUUAGGAAUAAUGACCUAAAAUAUAUGGGCUGUGAAAUUGGAACAAAGAAAUAAAAUACAUCAAUUUGGCCAUGAAACUAAACACACUCAAGCAGAUCCUCAUAACAUAAUUUAAAAAACACACAGCAAGAACACAAGGACUGCUCAGUGAAAGCCAAAUCUCUGAUGGUGUCAGUCAGUGACACUAAAAACUAAGCACCUCCGAGAGUCUUGUUUAUUGGAAAAGGUUGCACACCCAAAAAAGUAGAAUUUUAUCUCCUUUUAGAGCAAUAAGUCCUGUCAAAUCAAGGUACUGUUCUACUCCUUUCUGAACCCUAUCCUGAAUACAUGUUAGUAAUUGUUCUCAGAUGAAGCAUGACCCCAGCUACUCAUGGAUAGGCAAUAUUAAAUCCCCACUAAUUCACACCUGAAGAAGUCAUCAAUGAACCUUUGUUAAUGAAAACUGAAUUCUACAGUCAUCUAUGUCUUCUUGACCCAGUACUAAUCCUUCUGGGUAACAGGGUUAGAGCUAGAAAUUCCUCUCUGCUCCCUUGGACACUUCUCUAAGAAAAAGGAAGUCUUCCUUCCCUCCCUCCUUCCUUCCUUCCUUGCUUCAUUUUUCAUACUUAUCACCCAUCUUUCACUGAAUGGUUCCAGCGCAGGCUUCAUAAGACAUCACAACUUAAGACAAUAUGCAAUUCGUUAAAAAUGUAAGUUAAAAUCAUAAACACAGACGCUCCAAUGUCCCUAUUUCCCAGGGACAGUCCUGAAUUUUCAUAAGCCAUCCUGGUUUCUGAUUUGAUUCCAGAAUGUCCAGCUUUUCCUUAGGACUUCCCUAUUUUCACCGGAGAAAUGUUGGAGGGUGUGUAAACAAAACCACAAGAGCGACCAUCAGCCUGCUCUUCUAAGAGCUUUGCUUGUGCCUGCGCCACCAAGAAGCCUGUUGAUCUUUCCCAGAUAGCUCUAAAGUGCAACUGUGAGCACAGAGGUACCAGGAGAAAAUAAAAAGUUGGCAUACCUAGUUGCAUUAUUUUUCUGGAUGUUUGAUAUAUCCUGUGGGGCUCAAAGCCCCAAAUGCCACCCAAAGAUAAAAUCAUUCACCUCUGUAACAACUUACACUCCGCAGUUGCAUUAAGCAGUGCUUUUGUCCAGUUUUCUAAUGUUCUUUUCACACUGCAGUAUCUGGCGCACUGUGGUGCUGUAGCUUUUUGACCAAUAUAGCACCACAUCACACUAAAUUUGGCGUGGUGUGACACAGCAAAAGAACGUUAUUAGACAAUGUCACAACUCCCCCAACCUUUCUGCAGAUGCAUGCUGGUAUACCACCCCAAAUUUCAUCACUUUGCCCCCAACAAUGUUCUGGGUAAAAAUUAAUUUCGGGUGCAAUUAACAUGGAAAUGAGCACUAAACUUGCACUAGAUUCCUGGAAAUGGCUUUUAUGCUGUGUGAAUGAACAGUUCAGGAAAUGUCGGGCAAACAGAAUAAAACUGCCAUGCGACUGCAGCCCUGCUUGAACAGAAGCUGUUUGUGGUAUACUUUGAAAAGCAGCAACCCUACAUUUUGUAUAGUUCUAUUGAAUUCAACCUGCAUGGGAAAGGAAGUGUCAUCAAUUCCCUAAUGCACUCUGCAUCCAACAUCUGCAUUCUUUUGCUCCUUCAUGCUUCAUGACAUAUAGAAUACAAAAGGCCCAUUGUGUUAUUUUAAUCUAAAAGCUACAUCCCAGUGUCAAUAAAAUUGCUGGUAAAUUUUUCAGCAACACUUUUUCCUAUCUUGCUUAUGCAAAAAGAAAAAAGAAAACAAUCUCACUUCAACAUCUAAAGUGUAUUGAGACAGCAUGCUUGAAAAUUCUGGCAGAAAUAAAUGUACUUUGAUUAAAUUAAUAUUCCAAUAAGUACUAUUUGCAAGUCUAUAAAAAGGACAACUGAAAUAGAGAUAGCAUUAUUCCUCUGGAUGUGUGUAUGUGUGGUACAUAUCUUUUGCAUUCUAUAGUUUCAGAGUGCUGUUCUAAAAACCCUAUAUGUCACUCUAUAUGUCAAUGAGUUUUUUAAUGUGUUGCAGCGUGCAAUGCAAUAGUCAUGGUCCAUUUGUCUGUUGGCAUCCUUAGGUUGCUAUUACUUCAAAAAGCUUCAUUUCUCCUGGCAUGAGUAGUCCUAGCUAGAGAAAACAGACAGCCCUCCAUCAAAGCUCAAUGCAAGUUCCAAGUCGUCUUUAUUUGAGUUUCUGAGUUGACUUGGCUGCAAAUAUGGUUAAGGAGGGCAUCUGCAAUUCAUGGGCAGCCAACCUGUGACACAAAGUUACAGGAGCAGGAGGCCUAAUGGCACAUGAUCAGGCUGCACAUCUCAGCCACCUGCCACUCACUCUCCACCACCUCCCCAUCUCAGUUUGGCAAAAGGACCCCAAGGCAUGGAAGGCAGGUACAUUAUGAGAGAGAUACCUAUGUGAUGUGCCAUGCAGUAGGGUGCCAACAUCUCAUACUCUGGAUCCACUGGUUGCACACCACUGUUAUAAAAAUCAUUUAUCCCGUCUUACUACUACUACUACUACUACUAAUAAUAAUAAUAAUAAUAAUAAUAAUUUAUUAUUUCUACCCUGCCCAUCUGGCUGGGUUUCCCCAGCCACUCUGGGCGGCUUUCAACAGAACAUUAAAAACAGAAUAAAACUUCAAACAUUAAAAACUCCCCUAAACAGGGCUGCCUUCAGAUGUCUUAUAAAAGUCAGAUAGUUGUUUAUUUCCUUGACAUCUGAUAGGAGGGUGCCACUAUCAAGAAGGCCCUCUGCCUGGUUCCCUGUAACCUCACUUCUUGCACUGAGGGAACCACCAGAAGGCCCUCAGCACUGGACCUCAGUGUCCGGGCAGAACGAUGGGGGUGGAGACGCUCCUUCAGGUAUACUGGGCUGAGGCCGUUUAGGGCUUUAAAGGUCAGCACUAACACUUUGAAUUGUGCUCGUAAACAUACUGGGAGCUAAUGUAGGUCUUUCAGGACCAGUGUUAUAUGGUCUUGGUGGCCACUCCCAGUCACCAGUCUAGCUGCCGCAUUCUGGAUUAGUUGCAACCAUCCCAUCCUAGUUGUCACGAGGAAAACUUCAGACAGCUCACUUGGCUAAUUGCUGAGUGAACCCAGACACGCAGAGAGCUUCUUUUCAGUACUUUUAUUAUUAGCAAAGAGAAAAACAUGGUGACCAUGGAAUGUACUCCCUCAAAGCUUGAGCUUUUGCCCAGAGUGCCCACCCCUCCCCCUCCCAACUAACGUCCUAGCUCUCAGACUCCUCCUGCUGUCUACGGUGGCUGCUAAGGGACUCCUUCUGUCUCUGUUUGGCAAAUUCUCCUCCCCACUCCCUGGACUUUAAUGCCUCUGGACAGUCAAUGUGCUCUUUGGGGGCGGGGGGAAUUAAAGCAUGACCUUUUGUUAAACGGAUGUGAAAACAAGAGCAUCCUCUCUUGUGAAUGAAUGGAAGCUCUGAACCAGUCUCCUCUGAUCUGCUCUCAUGUUCUCAGAAGCCACAUAACAAGCAGCACAGAGAGACUGUGAAUGGAACAGAACAACUGACAGCAGCUGCUCUGCUGUGACAGGACAAAUGAAUUGGUUGGCUUUAAAUGAAGAACCAGUCAAGGGAAAGUUAAUUUCUGGUAUAACACCACACAACAGUGAUACCUGUGAGUCACCUGAGUUUGAAAGCCUGUGCUGAACAGCUGUUCACUCAUAGUAUUCUGCCUAUCCUACUUAAUAAUAACAAACUGCAAGACGCUGACAUUGUUAUGACUGUCACCCAAGUACAUUCAAUUUAUAGAAGAUGAACAUCUUAAGUUUAUGUGCAGAAAGACUUCACCAAUCUGCAUUAUGCUUGUCAAAACAUAUAUGACCAAGGAAUCUAACCCCAAGCUGAAGUUGGGGAGAAAAGACAAGUUCACACACCCCUCGGCUAAGAGCCAGGGCAUUCUAAACUAAUCUGCUUUAGUGGUUGCAAGUUCAGAACAAAAGGUGGUAUGAGAAGAUAGCCCCUUGUGGCCCCAGAACCUUGGUUCAUCUCAGAGGACUGUAGCCUGGAAUAUGACCUAAUGUGUCCUGGGACAUAUCCCCCCACCCACCUUGACCCUUUUUGUCUCCAUGGAACUCUGCAUGGCACAAAACACAGGCAUCCUGGCUUUUAUAGCAGCAGAUGAGCAGAAGGAAUAGCAAACUGGCAACUUCCAAGAAGUGAGCCUCAAAUUGGAGGUCCAUAUCCAAGUUCUGAUAGCUGGACAUGGCAAGGGUAGCAAGCAGAUCAAGGAAGUAUCGAUAUCAAAGCUAGCUCCGCCUCUGCCUGGUAGGGCAGAAAAGAUGAGUCAUAAAAAGCCUUCCCAGAACAUCAAGAGGCAAAUGUUUUCUCUCAUCAGAUCACCUUUCAGUGAUCACAGUACUGUAUCUUUUUCACUCUGCACUAACAAAGACAGCUUCCAUUAGAUUUAAGGCCAUGAAGCUCUGGAGAGGGGUCUUUGAUGUCUGGUGUUCGAAGCCAAGAGAGACAGAGAAACUUGCAGGCAUGCAGACACCAUUCCUGCUUCUGGCUGCUUCUUAAGAACUCCUGCACAUCUCCCUCCCUCUAGGGACAUGGGGUUCCCCAGUUAUAACCAGAAAAAGGUAUAACAGCUGCUCAACGUGCCAGUAUCUCUUAUGCCGUCAUGAGCAAAGCAUAUCAUGAGCUGAAAGUGUGCAUAAAGGCUUGCAGACACAUGAACUACAGAAGAUUAUCCUUUUCAUACAUUAACUCCAAAUAUAGCAUGCUUUUAAUUUUCCAUUUUAGUCUGUAUCUAUAUCAUCUAUAGCUAUAACUAUAGAUAUAUAUAUAUAUUCAACAUGCAGCUAAUGCUCCUACAUAAUACAUCACAAAGGGGGAAAACUCAUCCCACUCUCUGCCAUUUCUAAAUACAUAAAUACGUAAGCCAGGCUAUUAAUACUUUGAAUUCUAUCAUAAACUCAGAAAGUGAUGGAGUGGGAAGUUGGGCUGCUUGCCUGUAAUGCAUAUUUUUAAAGAACAGAACAGAACUCUUCAUCAGAAUUCCCUUGGUUUAAAUUAUUUCAUAUAGAGAACAGGAGUGGGGAUGGGAAGAGGAACAUUUUGGGUCCAGUCUUGCAGCAGGAUUUUUCUACAACAGUGUCUUCUGUUUGUUAUGCAAGCUUUUCACUUGGGGCGCAAAGCUAAUGAGCAAAGACAGAAAAUGGGAGCACUAUCAUGUACAAUAAAUGUACUUCCAUGUAAAGAAUGGGAUAUUUGAAUGGAUCCUUACCGUAAACUUGAUUAAUGUUGUCACUGCCUGAAAAGUGCAUCCCCCCCACCACACAGAGGUGCAGCAUGGGGGGGCAGGGGGGCUGUGGCCCCAGGCACACAUUCUUGAUAGGGCACAGCCAGGUGCCCACACAACAGGCUCCUCCUGAGAGACAAGCUGUGCCCUUCGAGGCUGGGGCAAUAGUGGCGCCGGUGCCUCCUUUUCCUCAUGGCCAGCAAAGCCUCUGGGACGGCCAUGAGGGAGGGAGGGAGGGAGGGAGGGAGGGGAGGGCACCACACCUCAUGCUCUGCUUCACUGUCCAAUGACUCAUCCCCUAGCCCUGACACUAUCUCUACCUCUGUUCCUCCAGCUCCGGGGUCCCCAGGGGCUGUGCCCUAGCCCCAGCUGCACCCAGCCCUGCUGCCUCGACUCUGACCAUCUUCCCUGAGUACCACAGGCACAGAGAAGCAGAGGGAAGGUGUGCUAGCCCCAGGGCCAUCUUACCCAUAGGUGCUAGGGGUGUGGGGCACCCAGGCGCCAGGCUCUCAGGGGCACCAGGCCAAGAGUCUGGGGCCGAGAUUUGGAGUCCGGGGAUUGGGAAGAGCUGAUAGCCGCUGCCAAGCAGAGAAGAGCCUUUCAGAGUGCCGCAGCUCUUCUGCUGCGAGCAAGUAAAGCGCUGAGGCAGCCAGUCAGCUCCACCCUCCUGCGUGCCUGGGAUUGGCGGACCGUCGAGAGGCCCGCCCAGUGCACACUGCUCACACAAGUCACCCGGCUUCGCUCAGUCGCCACCGCCACCUCCUCGGGCUCAACUGUUGUUGCGCUGGGCUCUGCUUGCCCACCCCCAGGCGCCCAGGCACCCAGUUGCUCUGCUGCCACCGCCUCCCCCCACAAGCCCUUCCUGGAGCAAAGAUAGGGGAGGUGGUGGCAAUCAAAGUGAGGAGCUUUGGCUGCUCCAGUCACACCCCACCUGCCACCCCCAUCUUCCAUCACUGGCCUGCCUCUCUGCCUCUGCCAGCCAAUGAUGUGGCACACGUAUGGCCACGCAGGCUCACACUGUACCCACCCGACCUCCCAGCCUGGCUGCACAGCUGCCACUGAGGGACAGCGGGCAGGUGGGUGAUGCUGGGGUCCUACAGAUUCCUGAAAUAUGGCAACCCUAUCAAAUAUGUCAAGGGUCAUCAGUUGGAAGAUGGAGCAAGCUUGCUUUCUCCUGCUCUGGAGCGUAAGACUUGAACCAAAGGCUUCAAGUUACAAGCAGAUUCUGACUAAACAUCAGGAAGAACUUUCUGACAGUAAGAGCUGUUCAACCCUGGCAGGUAAAAAAGGUAAAGAUAAAGGACCCCUGGACGGUUGAGUCCAGUCAAAGGUGACUAUGGGGUGCAGUGUUCAUCUCGCUUCAGGCCGACAGAGCCGGUGUUUGUCCACAGACAGCUUUCCGGGUCAUGUGGCCAGCAUGAUUAAACUGCUUCUGGUGCAACGAACACUGUGACAGAAGACAAAGUGCAUGAAAACACUGUUUACCUUCCCGCUGCAGUGGUACCUAUUUAUCUACAUACUUGCUCAUACUUGAUUUUGAACUGCUAGAAUGGCAGAAGCUGGGACCCAGCAAUGAGAGGGAGCUCACCCUGCCGCGUGGAUUUGAGCCACUGACCUUCUGACUGGCAAACCCAAGAGGCUCAGUGGUUUAGACCACAGCAGAGGUUGGGUGGCCAUUUGUCACGGAUGCUUUAGCUAAGAUUCCAGCAUUGCAGGGGGUGGAUUAGAUGACCCUUGAGGUCCCUUCCUACUCUAUAAUUCUACAAUUCUAUGCCAUGCAAAACGUUAAGGAGAUAUUUUAAAAGAAAGUUGCUUACACAGCAGAAGUUUUCAUUUUCUCAUUUAUUUUUAGUAAAGCAUUUGCAUGCAGCUAGGUUUAUUGCUUUUAAGAGCUGUUCUUUUCUGGCUGCAUUGUCCUCAUUUCAAGGUAUGCGCUUAGGUUUUUUACAGUGAAAAUCCUUUAUACUCUCUUUCCAGUGUCGUCAGAAAGGAUUUGCAUUUCAAGUAAAAUAAACCUCCGGCACAUGUGGAAUUCUAGAUUGUUUCUGCGCAGAUGUUUAACAAUAAAAUCACACAAAAGAGAUGCAAUGUAAUAAAAAAAGAUUUCAAUACAACACACACUGUUGGCAGAGUCAAAUAUGAGAGUUUUGCAUCUUUAGUACUGAACUUUUUCCAUACAUAGAAUUAUACUUCCCUUUUCAGCCAAUCAGCAGGCAGGCUUGGAUUCACUUCCCAGCUGGCGAGGUGAGUGUUAUGCCUCCAUGCCCGCUGGGCUGCCCCAGAAACUAGAGGCAGCAUUAGAUCAUGGUGGGAGAGGCAGUGCCAGCCCACAAUGCCACGGAGCCAGGUAAAGGUAAGCGGACUUCUCUUUUCAGUUGUAAAUGGGGAGAAUAAUUGCUUUCAGGUACCCACCCAAUAUACAAGUUAACAUUUGUAAAGCCAAGUUAUCUGCAAAAGGUAGGAAUGUCAAACUUUAAGCUUCACCCUUCCUACCAUUGUCCGCAUUCUUCUACCCACCCAGCAUUUGUCCAAAAAUUUCCUGAAUCUCUCCCAUUUAUUUGCCCCCCUUCCAAUUGGCUCUGCCUCCUGCUACUCCAAGCCAAGAGGGGCCAGACUUGGGGCUGCAGAUGCAAUCAACAAGAAGACUCACAAAUAUAAAAAAUAUACUUGUAAUGCAUUCAAACAAACAAACAGGCAAGGCAAAUACAAUGCAAAAAGGACAGAGAGCAAUAGUACUACUGAAAAACCUGUGUGAGAUCCAUUUUAACCAUUUCAGCAAUGUCUCAAUUAGUCUUGGAAGGUAUUCUAAACCAACUUUUUGAGGAAUGUUUUCAAACAACUUCUUGUGUCUCAGUGACUGGUAAGCAGUGCCGGAUUUAUGUAUAAGCCAAACAAACUAUAGCUUUGGGCCCCACUCUCUUGGGGCCCCCCCGAAAAAAGUAAAGAAAAAGAAACCUGGAUGCACAUUUCCAAAAUAUAAGAUAAAAAACAAAUAAAAUAAAACCUACAUACAGCAACAGUGGUAAAUGACUUUAGUUACCUAUUAGGUCCAUAAAUUACCACCUAGCAUAUAUUCAACACAAAAAACAGUGACAAUUUGUUGUUGCCAAAGGACAGCUGGACAUAUAAAGGGCCCCAUUACCUUCAGUAGCUUAGGGCUUCAUCAAACCUAAAUCCAGCCCUGCUGAUAAGAUAUCUGUUUUGCUGUGCAGUUUUCUUAUUAUUGGCAGGAUUUUUUCUGAGACACAAACUGGAUUUUUGAAUUUGUCAUCCAUUUUUGAAUUUGUCAUCCAUUCUUUCUUCCCAGGACAAUACAAAAAUGUUGUUUAGAAUACUUUCCCCGUGACUUAGGGCAAACUGGGGCAUACUUUUUUUAAAAAAGAAGCUUAAUAAUGAAAAUGAAUCUGUAACUUGUUUUUCCAUAGUAAAGGUAGAGGUAAAGGUAAAGGUAAAGGGACCCUUGACCAUUAGGUCCAGUCGUGGCCGACUCUGGGGUUGCAGCGCUCAUCUCGCUUUAUUGGCCGAGGGAGCCGGCAUACAGCUUCUGGGUCAUGUGGCCAGCAUGACUAAGCCAUUUCUGGCGAACCAGAGCAGCGCACGGAAACGCCGGAGCGGUACCUAUUUAUCUACUUGCACUUUGACAUGCUUUCAAACUGCUAGGUUGGCAGGAGCAGGGACUGAGCAACGGGAGCUCAGCCCAUUGUGGGGAUUCAAACCGCCGACCUUCUGAUCGGCAAGCCCUAGGCUCAGUGGUUUAGACCACAGAGCCACCCUGGUACCUGUUCCAUAGUAUUGGUGCUUACUUGUCCUAUUUAUAUUAUUGUGUGUUUUCCUUUUCUAUAUGUUUAUUAGAGCACUUUACAAGUAUAAUUUGUUAUUUGUGGGUCUGAUUGUUGGUUAGUAUGAUACACAGGAACCCUCAUUAUACACUGUACUGCAAAUUUCAGGAUUGAUAGAUUUACUUUCUUUCUAGGGUUUUUUGUGUUUUUUUACUAGAACCAAUGAGCCUGGUACAAAAAACAUAUAGAUAGAACAAGGUGCCUUUGAGCACAGGCUGAACCUAAACAUUUGUGUUCAAUAUCAGAAAUGCACUGGGUUCACUAUCAUUUCAUACAAAACUCCAACCCUGAAUAUCCUUCACAUCAGCGGCAUAAUUUAGGCAGGAAAAGUCAUUGUUGUAACUGUUGUUGCUUUUCACUGGGUUUUCAUUGAAUUUUUCAAAAUAUAACAAAUGUAAAUUGCUAAACCAUUGGGAAUCAGAAACUCUUAUCAACUUACUGCAAAUCACUCGGAGAUCUACCAGGAGAUCCUGAUCUGCUACCUUCUGCCCACCCUGGAUGCAUGGUCAGUUCAAGCCCUCCCCAAUUCACCUCAAUACACUCUUCUUUAUCCAUUUGCAUUGUUAUCAAUGUGAUCCUUGCUCCCAUACAAGCCUAUGUAGGCAAAUAGUUAAGGAAGUGGAUUGAGACUAGUAUUGUAAUGCCAUUACAGUACAAUCGUGUCUUGUGCACAUUUAACUUACCUGAUUUCAACAGUAUACAGUUGAAGUCUGGCUGGUUAAAAUCCUGCAAGUUAAAUGCAGAGCCAACUUGAGGAGAGGGUCCUUUAUGCACCAGAUUUUCCCAGCAUAAAAGAACUUUGCUUCCCAAACAAAGGUCUCUCCCCUCGCUAGGAAUCUGUUGCUCCCCUUGAGAUCUUGUGGGAACUUAGGCAGCCCCACACGAUCUCAUGAGAGCAUCCUGGAGCUUUUGGAGCUGAUGCUCCAGAUGUUCUGGAAGCCCGAGGAUGCUCACACAGGGGUUCGGUUCCAAGUGUUUGAGUAUAUGCAUUUUUGAGGAACUCUUGCAAGAGAACCCCUGCGUAAGACACAAUAAUACUGUACUUAAAGGGCUUUCUAUGCCUCUAUGAACCUGCUAGGGGUUUGAGAUCAGCUACAUAGGCCUUGCUUGUAUGCACAAAGAAAAUGAGCUCAGGGUGGCAGGGCCUUUUCUGUGGUGGCUCCAUGGCUAUGAUAAUAAUUUCCCCAAUAUAUAUGAUCCUACCUGGGAUGAUUUAGGUGGGUUCUAACAACAUUUUUUGCUUUUAGUGAGAGAGUUAAAUAAGCAGUAGCCUCCAUAUUUAGUCUUAUGAUUUGAAGUGUUGGUCUCUCAAGCUCAAAAAAAGAAAGAAAGAAAGUGGUAUCACAUCAUUCAAAAGAUGCAGAAAAGGACAAUCAAAAUAAUGGUGGGAUUCAGGUACUUUUUUGUACACAGAAAAGCCAGCACUGUUUUUAGUUUAGACAGGAUGGUGGAAGGGAAAUGAGAGAGAUUUUUAAAUUACACACAGUGGACAAAGAAAGGAUAGAGAGACCACUUUCUUUGUCCCUCAGUUCAUCAACAGAUGAUAGCUGACCAAAAAAAGUAUUAAUUCACACAACACAUAAUUCAUAAUAUUUUUAUUUGAAAGAUGUUGUCUCAAAGGACAAAUAGAAUUUAUUAUUUUAUGUGACAGAGCCAAUGAGGAUACUGGAAAAAAGAAAAUGAUCCAUUGAUUGUGAGAAUUGUGGAAUUUUGCAAAAUAAAACAAGAUUUAUUGGAUUCUGCAAAAGGGGAAUAAUGUAUUAAUGGAGGAAGGUUGCAGAGUGCAGACCACCAGAGAGAUGUUUUCAUAGCCUGAAAGCAAAUACACUCACAAAGACACCUUGGCCACCUCAAUGGUAAGGCAAGUGCAAACAGAACCAUGCACUCCUCUCACUCUCACUCUCACUCUCACUGCUGUCAAGCAAUGGCACAGGGCACAGUUGGGACCUGAUUUCUGUGCCACUGACAAUAGAGGGGGUGAACAAAGGUUUGUAUUGCCCCUUUGCACCCAGCAUGUAUAACUAAGGAACCAGCAGAAAUACAGGUGCUUUGGAGUAGUAGUCAAAUGGGGUCUGAAACACAGGGGUAUGGAGCUGAUUCUUUGACACCACUCCGCAUAUGACUGCAGGCUAAGAAAGAAAGAACAGCAUAUGCACCUCAGGCUAUGUUUUCACCAGACCCGCCCUUAACUGGCACCUCUGCAGCCACCACCAUACAUACAAGUAUGAAAGAGCCGCAUGCAAGUUUCCCUAAAUACCUCUCAGAUCUGCUUUGUUUUUGUGCUCAUACCAGAGAAUCUAGUCAAUCAUCCAGGCUUUGGAAGGCUCUAAAAUAAAUGCCCAUUUUGAGUAGUUUAACCGAUGUCCAAGUCAGGAAGAAGAGACCACUGGGAAUACGAAGAUGCUGUACACCAGGCACCCACAUAUUACAGGCUGUUCAAAUAAAACUAUUAGGAAGUAUAAAUCUUAGCGCCUAAGGACCAAGGAGCUUAACCUGCUUUUAAAACAUUUAACAAGUGUCAGUACAUAAAAGUUGCUCGCGAGCAAACAGAAACUAGCUGCAGGGCGUUUGGAAUGUACCCUACUGCUUUUAUUUGAAAGAUUAAUUGUCCUUUUACGAUACAUCGCUACCCCUGCUAUUUAUGAUCUGUGUUUCGCAAUGAAAAACCCCAGGAGUUGCAGGAAUAAGAUGGAUGUUGCAUUAUUAAAGCCGAGCAGAAGCUUGGCCAGAGCACUUCCGCAUGUGUCACUCAACGUGUGUGUGAUCCUCUCGUUUUAUGAUUGCUUCCCGCUUGUGGUUCCGGCAUCUUUUACUGCUGUCAGUCUGCUCCCUGAAGUACCGCAGUGGCACAAAUCCCUUUCCAACGCCUGGCAGUUGUGCCAACAGAGCAGUCUGAGCACCACAGCAUGAUGUGCCCAAUAUAAUUAGAAGCUGUUUAUAUAUAGCUUAAGUUGUUGGUUUUAGAGCCAUGUUUUUAUCUUUAAGUGGCAUAGCUGCGAUCUGCAAAGAGGAGCCUCAGAUACUGUACAGAUGGUUAUCGGGUACAAAUCUUCUCCAUCACCUUAUGCCAUCCAGCACACUCCAAUAAUUUAAGGGGAGCCUCAUGGAGUCACUGAAAGCUAAUAAACACUUCUUCCUUCCUCUA
Non-coding RNA from Podarcis lilfordi (Lilford's wall lizard), 39608 nucleotides. The record is from the annotation of a GenBank genome assembly. Lineage: Eukaryota; Metazoa; Chordata; Lepidosauria; Squamata; Lacertidae.